RNAcentral lists this ribosomal RNA (253 nucleotides) under uncultured bacterium. RNAcentral's name for it is "partial 16S ribosomal RNA". It matches the Rfam family "Bacterial small subunit ribosomal RNA", at positions 524 to 776 of the family's 1533-position model. The record is from RNAcentral.
UACAGAGGUCUCAAGCGUUGUUCGGAUUCAUUGGGCGUAAAGGGUGCGUAGGCGGCGCGGUAAGUCGGGUGUGAAAUCUCGGAGCUUAACUCCGAAACUGCAUUCGAUACUGCCGUGCUUGAGGACUGGAGAGGAGACUGGAAUUUACGGUGUAGCGGUGAAAUGCGUAGAUAUCUGGAGGAACACCGGUGGCGAAGGCGGCAUCCUGGACCGGCAUUGACGCUGAGGAGCGAAAGCCAGGGGAGCAAACGGG